UACAGAGGGUGCGAGCGUUGUUCGGAAUUAUUGGGCGUAAAGGGCGCGUAGGCGGUGCGGUAAGUCACCUGUGAAAUCUCCUGGCUCAACUGGGAGCUUGCAGGCGAAACUGCCGUGCUGGAGUGUGGGAGAGGUGCGUGGAAUUCCUGGUGUAGCGGUGAAAUGCGUAGAUAUCAGGAGGAACACCUGUGGCGAAAGCGGCGCACUGGACCACAACUGACGCUGAGGCGCGAAAGCUAGGGGGGCAAACAGG
RNAcentral lists this ribosomal RNA (253 nucleotides) under uncultured bacterium. RNAcentral's name for it is "partial 16S ribosomal RNA". It matches the Rfam family "Bacterial small subunit ribosomal RNA", at positions 524 to 776 of the family's 1533-position model. The record is from RNAcentral.